This is a long non-coding RNA of Liolophura sinensis, 1095 nucleotides long. RefSeq lists it as uncharacterized. The record is from RefSeq and is a predicted model, not a curated record. The transcript is spliced from 2 exons. NCBI's taxonomy places the organism in Eukaryota, Metazoa, Mollusca, Polyplacophora, Chitonida, Chitonidae.
UCGAAGUUUGACCAAAGACGUUUUGCGGCAGGGAUUCAGCUUAUGGACAGCUGCUUUGAGUCUGGAAGUUUGUCAGGUAAAUGUUGUUUGUUUACUCGCGGGACUGUGGUUUUCUCCUUUCACAGAUCAACUAACACUAAGUGGUUCAAUAAAUAUAUCAUACAUUUUGCCAUUUUGGACAUAAUACUGAUCUGACAAAGUUAGUGGUAUUGGGUGUAGCAACGAUUAAUAUUCUGUUCUUUUCAGAAAUCUUAUACAUAGACUAUAUUUUUUAACGGGCAGGAAAAUAUUUCCUACAGGCUACACAGUUCGGAUACAUCUUUCUAUUCACGUUUUACUGUACGGACCAUUUUAUGGAAAACAAAAAAAACUUCUGUUCAGCAAGAAAAGAAUACCGGUGGUAUUUUAAUCUUUGUCGGCACUGUAACGAUUAUUACUAUCAGCUUGUCUUUAGCCAGUAUCAUCGGAGAACCUUGCAACAAAACCAGAGACUGUCUGCCAAGGCACUCCGUGUGUAACUCGAAGAACGUGUGCGAGUGCGAUGCAAAUUCCAGAGCCACAUCAGACAAUUUUUGGUGCAUUGGGACCGGUUACAAAGCACUCGGCGACAGUUGUACCACGGGAGAUAAGUGUAGGAUAGCAGCGGACUGUCAAUCCGGCAAAUGCGCAUGCGUCAAAUGGCACGCCCCUUGGGGCAAAGAAGAGAAGUGGUUCGGAAUUCCGGCGUCAAGGUUCAGUCAGUGUGAAAACACUAAUAAUACUCUGAACAGUUGUAACGGAACAACAUUUGCUCCACAAAACCCGUAAUGUCAAUCAGAGCAGGACUUCAUACUUCAGUGUACACUCGUCGGCGAUCCAACAAAACUGAAUCAAAAUACAAAGCUAGGAGUGAAUGACCUUCUAAAAUAACUCCCUUCUUGCUGUACUAUUUUCUAUACUAUAUAAAUUAAAAUACUGUACAUAAAUUAAGGUGCAAAUCAUCGCAUGAAUAAACAAGAAUUCAAGUAGAUUUGAGUGUUUGAAAGAUUAUUUUUGCUGAUUUACAGAAAUGAUGAAUUAAUCGACUGAAUAAUAAACAGUCUGUCUGCAUGUUUA